AGGGAGGGCCCAAGUUGGCCCAGGCCUGUUUCAAAAGUAACACGUUCCCCAGCCUUGAGACAAGGCGGGUGUCGAAGUGAGCGGCUGAGGCCCUGAAAGCCAGGUGCUCUUCGCGCCUGUCCUUGAGCGUGAGGCGAGCGGGGGAAAGGCGGCCUGCUUCGUCUCCGGCUUCUCGGCAGAGGAGACCAGGCCCAAGCAGGCCGCCUCGCCUGGGCCGGGCAGGCCUGUCAGCCCGAGGCCGGAGUAGGCCGAGCCGAGCGGAGGGAAAGAAGGAGGGAGUGCGGGAGAGGGGAGGCGGCGCCCUGAGAGGAGGCAGCGGCGGUGUCAAGUACGAAGCGCAGCGCUACGUGCCGAGUGACGCGGCCCGCCUGCCACGACUCGGGAGGAGAGCUGCGCGGAGGCCCCGCCGCCUGGGCCUGCUCGGCAGCCGGGCUCACAAGGCUAAAAGAAAUAGAAGGAAAAAAGAACAAAAGAAAAACUUAAGUACACUGAAAUAUUUUGUGUAUUGCAUGCUUUUGCAGUGUCAAAAACAAAACUAAUGACAGAUAUUUCUAGAAUUUGCCUGUAAUUUCUUCUUCUACUUUUUAAAAACCAAGUCUACUUCACAAAUGUAUUUAAAAUGUCAAUAACUGCUUAUAUCAUGCUUUCAUUAGGCAUUUUGUUUUGUUCCUCCUUUUUGUUUCCAAAUAACUAGAUUUAAUUACCCUUCAGCUGUACAAGAUAAUUUUCACUUAGAUCUUAACUGUAAGUCCUUCAAAAGUUUAUGAUGAAUAUUGCCAAACUUAGUCAAAGCUUUUUGUUUAUGAUACAAAGUCACACAUGUAUUAAAAUUAUGGUGUCUUUUUCAAUUAUUCUACUGAGAUGAGUUUCAUCUUGGAUUCUAUUAUUUUAUGCCAUAUUUGUUAAAUAAACACAAUUUAGUCAUU
Non-coding RNA from Anolis sagrei ordinatus, 926 nucleotides. Lineage: Eukaryota; Metazoa; Chordata; Lepidosauria; Squamata; Anolidae. The record is from RefSeq and is a predicted model, not a curated record.